RNAcentral lists this ribosomal RNA (460 nucleotides) under uncultured bacterium. RNAcentral's name for it is "partial 16S ribosomal RNA". It matches the Rfam family "Bacterial small subunit ribosomal RNA", at positions 338 to 795 of the family's 1533-position model. The record is from RNAcentral.
CCUACGGGUGGCAGCAGUGAGGAAUAUUGGUCAAUGGACGAGAGUCUGAACCAGCCAAGUAGCGUGAAGGAUGACUGUCCUAUGGGUUGUAAACUUCUUUUAUAUGGGAAUAAAACGUUCCACGUGUGGGAUUUUGUAUGUACCAUAUGAAUAAGGAUCGGCGAACUCCGUGCCAGCAGCCGCGGUAAUACGGAGGAUCCGAUCGUUAUCCGGAUUUAUUGGGUUUAAAGGGAGCGUAGGUGGAUUGUUAAGUCAGUUGUGAAAGUUUGCGGCUCAACCGUAAAAUUGCAGUUGAAACUGGCAGUCUUGAGUACAGUAGAGGUGGGCGGAAUGCGUGGUGUAGCGGUGAAAUGCUUAGAUAUCACGAAGAACUCCGAUUGCGAAGGCAGUUCACUGGACUGCAACUGACACUGAGGCUCGAAAGUGUGGGUAUCAAACAGGAUUAGAUACCCCAGUAGUC